This 213-nucleotide ribosomal RNA is filed under the name uncultured bacterium. RNAcentral's name for it is "partial 16S ribosomal RNA". It matches the Rfam family "Bacterial small subunit ribosomal RNA", at positions 524 to 738 of the family's 1533-position model. The record is from RNAcentral.
GACGGGGGGGGCAAGUGUUCUUCGGAAUGACUGGGCGUAAGGGCACGUAGGCGGUGAAUCGGGUUGAAAGUGAAAGUCGCCAAAAAAGUGGCGGAAUGCUCUCGAAACCAAUUCACUUGAGUGAGACAGAGGAGAGUGGAAUUUCGUGUGUAGGGGUGAAAUCCGUAAUAUACGAAGGAACGCCAAAAGCGAAGGCAGCUCUCUGGGAUCCCU